This is a long non-coding RNA of Scylla paramamosain (green mud crab), 592 nucleotides long. RefSeq lists it as uncharacterized. The record is from RefSeq and is a predicted model, not a curated record. Lineage: Eukaryota; Metazoa; Arthropoda; Malacostraca; Decapoda; Portunidae. The transcript is spliced from 4 exons.
ACCAGUCAGACUUGAUAUAGGAGUGAAUUUGUUGCUUUUUAAAGCGGCAGUCGGUCUCUACAUGUGUGAGGUGGCGAGGGGUGUCGCCAGGGGGCGGCUAGUAGCGUCUGCCACCAGGGAAAUAUGUAAAAACAUAAAAAAGACGCUUCUCAAGAAAGAGAGGGGCAGUCGGUCUGUACAUGCGUGAGGUGGCGAGAGGCGUGUCCAGGGGGCGGCUAGUAGCGUGUGCCACCGUGGAAAUAUGUACAGACAUAAAGAAGACGCCCUCAAGAAAGGCCUGAGUCCAGACCGAGACCCAGAGAAAUGUAAACAAACGCACCAGUCAGACUUGAUAUAGAAGUGAAUUUGUUGCUUUUUAAAGCGGCAGUCGGUCUGUACAUGUGUGAGGUGGCGAGGGGUGUCGCCAGGGGGCGGCUAGUAGCGUCUGCCACCAGGGAAAUAUGUAAAAACAUAAAAAAGACGCUUCUCAAGAAAGAGAGGGGCAGUCGGUCUGUACAUGCGUGAGGUGGCGAGAGGCGUGUCCAGGGGGCGGCUAGUAGCGUGUGCCACCGUGGAAAUAUGUACAGACAUAAAGAAGACGCCCUCAAGAAAG